GGAGGGAGCUAGCGUUGUUCGGAAUUACUGGGCGUAAAGCGCACGUAGGCGGCUUUGUAAGUCAGAGGUGAAAGCCUGGAGCUCAACUCCAGAACUGCCUUUGAGACUGCAUCGCUUGAAUCCAGGAGGGGUGAGUGGAAUUCCGAGUGUAGAGGUGAAAUUCGUAGAUAUUCGGAAGAACACCAGUGGCGAAGGCGGCUCACUGGACUGGUAUUGACGCUGAGGUGCGAAAGCGUGGGGGGAGCGAACAGGAUUAGAUACCCUGGUAGUCCACGCCCGUAAACGAUGAUAACUAGCUGUCCGGGCACUUGGUGCUUGGGUGGCGCAGCUAACGCAUUAAGUUAUCCGCCUGGGGAGUACGGUCGCAAGAUUA
This 373-nucleotide ribosomal RNA is filed under the name uncultured organism. Its description in RNAcentral is "partial 16S ribosomal RNA". It matches the Rfam family "Bacterial small subunit ribosomal RNA", at positions 527 to 896 of the family's 1533-position model. The record is from RNAcentral.